This 253-nucleotide ribosomal RNA is filed under the name uncultured bacterium. RNAcentral describes it as "partial 16S ribosomal RNA". It matches the Rfam family "Bacterial small subunit ribosomal RNA", at positions 524 to 776 of the family's 1533-position model. The record is from RNAcentral.
UACGUAGGGGGCAAGCGUUGUCCGGAUUUAUUGGGCGUAAAGAGCGUGUAGGCGGCUUUACAGGUCCGUUGUGAAAACUCGAGGCUCAACCUCGAGACGCCGGUGGAAACCGUAAGGCUAGAGUCCGGAAGAGGAGAGUGGAAUUCCUGGUGUAGCGGUGAAAUGCGUAGAUAUCAGGAGGAACACCGAUGGCGAAGGCAGCUUCCUGGUCCAAUUCUGACGCUGAGGUGCGAAAGCGUGGGGAGCGAACAGG